GACAGAAGAUAGACUUUGGUC
RNAcentral lists this microRNA (21 nucleotides) under Picea abies (Norway spruce). RNAcentral describes it as "pab-miR3699". The record is from miRBase by way of RNAcentral. Lineage: Eukaryota; Viridiplantae; Streptophyta; Pinopsida; Pinales; Pinaceae.